UGGGGAAUAUUGGGCAAUGGGGGAAACCCUGACCCAGCAACGCCGCGUGAAGGAAGAAGGCCUUCGGGUUGUAAACUUCUUUUAGCAGGGACGAAGAACGUGACGGUACCUGCAGAAAAAGCAACGGCUAACUACGUGCCAGCAGCCGCGGUAAUACGUAGGUUGCAAGCGUUGUCCGGAAUUACUGGGUGUAAAGGGCGUGUAGGCGGAGCUGCAAGUCAGAUGUGAAAUCCCGGGGCUCAACCCCGGAACUGCAUUUGAAACUGUAGCCCUUGAGUAUCGGAGAGGCAAGCGGAAUUCCUAGUGUAGCGGUGAAAUGCGUAGAUAUUAGGAGGAACACCAGUGGCGAAGGCGGCUUGCUGGACGACAACUGACGCUGAGGCGCGAAAGCGUGGGGAGCAAACA
RNAcentral lists this ribosomal RNA (405 nucleotides) under uncultured Bacillota bacterium. RNAcentral describes it as "bacterial SSU rRNA". It matches the Rfam family "Bacterial small subunit ribosomal RNA", at positions 355 to 774 of the family's 1533-position model. Lineage: Bacteria; Bacillati; Bacillota. The record is from RNAcentral.